This is a small nuclear RNA of Hippoglossus stenolepis (Pacific halibut), 135 nucleotides long. RefSeq annotates it as U11 spliceosomal RNA. The record is from RefSeq and is a predicted model, not a curated record. NCBI's taxonomy places the organism in Eukaryota, Metazoa, Chordata, Actinopteri, Pleuronectiformes, Pleuronectidae. The transcript has a single exon.
AAAAAGGGCUUCUGCUUUGUUUUGCACAGGAGACGGGGCGAGUGUCUCGUCUCCUGCGGAAUCCACAUCAAGAGAUUUCGGAAGCACAAUUUUUAUAACACGGGGCAGCUGGUGAUCGAUCGUCCUGGCGCCCCA